CCUACGGGUGGCAGCAGUGAGGAAUAUUGGUCAAUGGUCGGGAGACUGAACCAGCCAAGCCGCGUGAGGGAUGAAGGUACAGAGUAUCGUAAACCUCUUUUGUCAGGGAACAAAGGCGGGGACGUAUCUCCGGAUGAGUGUACCUGAAGAAAAAGCAUCGGCUAACACCGUGCCAGCAGCCGCGGUAAUACGGGGGAUGCGAGCGUUAUCCUGAUUUAUUGGGUUUAAAGGGUGCGCAGGCGGUCUGUUAAGUCAGCGGUAAAAGCCCGGGGCUCAACCCCGGCCCGCCGUUGAAACUGGCAGUCUCGAGUUGGAGAGAAGUAUGCGGAAUGCGCGGUGUAGCGGUGAAAUGCAUAGAUAUCGCGCAGAACUCCGAUUGCGAAGGCAGCAUGCCGGCUCCACACUGACGCGGAGGCACGAAAGCGUGGGUAUCGAACAGGAUUAGAUACCCGGGUAGUC
Molecule: ribosomal RNA, 459 nt
Filed under: uncultured bacterium
Lineage: Bacteria
Description: partial 16S ribosomal RNA
Rfam family: Bacterial small subunit ribosomal RNA
Source: RNAcentral